Long non-coding RNA from Raphanus sativus (radish), 650 nucleotides. RefSeq lists it as uncharacterized. The record is from RefSeq and is a predicted model, not a curated record. The transcript is spliced from 2 exons. NCBI's taxonomy places the organism in Eukaryota, Viridiplantae, Streptophyta, Magnoliopsida, Brassicales, Brassicaceae.
ACAAGGAUAGCUAUCUUGACCAUUGAUUAUUUUUGAUCCUAUGGCUAACAAUCACAGAUCUCACAUCUCUAUCUCUUCCUUCUCUCUUUCUUUCACGUCAUCUUUCUCUCUUUUUUCUUGGUUUCAGAUCUAAAACCAAUCUCUUCUAAUUCUUCUUUAAUCCUUUGAAUCUCUAUCUUCUUCAAUCCUCACCACCAACACACGACCUUCCCACCGUCACCACAUGGCCUCCAUUCGUUCUCUGUCACAACAGCACCACCACCACGACAUGGCCUCCAUUCGUUCUCUGUCCCAACACCACCGCCACCACAGAUGACCUCCGUUCGUUAGCAUCACCACCACCACCACACCUCCAUGGGAUGGAGGAGGCAAGGCGAAGCACGCAUGAUGGCUGAAGGAGGCGAAGCACGCAUGAUGGCUGAAGGAGGCGAAGCAGGCAUGACGGCUGAAGGUGGUGGUGUGGCGGUGAGUAGAAGAUGAAGAAGACGAAGAAGGUGGUGGUGGUGGCGGCUGUUUCCAUUUAGUUAGUAAUUAGGUUUAAGUUUCUGGUUUAGGUUUUGGUUUAAUUGGUUUAUUUGGUUUAUUAUUGUUUCCAUGUAAACCAGUUUUUAUUUAUAAUUCAAUCUAAUUUAUAAAUUAUAAUUUUGAUA